CAAUAGCGUAUAUUAAAGUUGUUGCAGUUAAAAAGCUCGUAGUUGAAUUUCUGGGCGGCCCGCCGGUCUUCCAUGUGUUGUACUGGGCGGCGCCGGCCAUCCUUGUGGAGAGGGCUCGCAUUUGGUUGCGUGUCAGAUCUGCAUCAUUUACUGUGAAAAAAUUAGAGUGUUUAAAGCAGGCUGUCGCUUGAAUACAUUAGCAUGGAAUAAUAAGAUAGGACUUCGGUCUAUUUUGUUGGUUGCGAACCGAGGUAAUGAUUAAUAGGGAUAGUUGGGGGUAUUCAUAUUUAAUUGUCAGAGGUGAAAUUCUUGGAUUUAUGAAAGAUGAACAACUGCGAAAGCAUUUACCAAGGAUGUUUUCAUUAA
RNAcentral lists this ribosomal RNA (366 nucleotides) under uncultured eukaryote. Its description in RNAcentral is "partial 18S ribosomal RNA". It matches the Rfam family "Eukaryotic small subunit ribosomal RNA", at positions 592 to 976 of the family's 1831-position model. The record is from RNAcentral.